This 580-nucleotide ribosomal RNA is filed under the name uncultured bacterium. RNAcentral's name for it is "partial 16S ribosomal RNA". It matches the Rfam family "Bacterial small subunit ribosomal RNA", at positions 355 to 925 of the family's 1533-position model. The record is from RNAcentral.
UGGGGAAUUUUGGACAAUGGGCGCAAGCCUGAUCCAGCCAUGCCGCGUGCGGGAAGAAGGCCUUCGGGUUGUAAACCGCUUUUGUCAGGGAAGAAAUCUUCUGAGUUAAUACCUCGGGAGGAUGACGGUACCUGAAGAAUAAGCACCGGCUAACUACGUGCCAGCAGCCGCGGUAAUACGUAGGGUGCAAGCGUUAAUCGGAAUUACUGGGCGUAAAGCGUGCGCAGGCGGUUUUGUAAGACAGAGGUGAAAUCCCCGGGCUCAACCUGGGAACUGCCUUUGUGACUGCAAGGCUUGAGUGCGGCAGAGGGGGAUGGAAUUCCGCGUGUAGCAGUGAAAUGCGUAGAUAUGCGGAGGAACACCGAUGGCGAAGGCAAUCCCCUGGGCCUGCACUGACGCUCAUGCACGAAAGCGUGGGGAGCAAAACAGGAUUAGAUAGCCCUGGUAGUCCACGCCCUAAAACGAUGUCAACUGGUUGUUGGGAAGGUUCCUUCUCAGUAACGUAGCUAACGCGUGAAGUUGACCGCCUGGGGAGUACGGCCGCAAGGUUGAAACUUAAAUGAAUUGACGGGGUCAUAGC